RNAcentral lists this ribosomal RNA (779 nucleotides) under uncultured bacterium. RNAcentral describes it as "bacterial SSU rRNA". It matches the Rfam family "Bacterial small subunit ribosomal RNA", at positions 59 to 851 of the family's 1533-position model. The record is from RNAcentral.
CAGUUGAGCGGAGAAUAUGGAGCUUGCUUUAUAUAACUUAGCAGCGAACGGGUGAGUAACACGUAGAUAAUCUAUCCUAUACUGGGGGAUAGCCCGAUGAAAGUUGGAUUAAUACCGCAUAUAGCUAUAUAGUUGCAUGAUUAUGUAGUGAAAGAUUUAUUGGUAUAGGAGGAGUCUGCGGCACAUUAGCUAGUAGGUGAGGUAAAGGCUUACCUAGGCGACGAUGUGUAGCCGGUCUGAGAGGAUGAACGGCCACAAUGGAACUGAGACACGGUCCAUACUCCUACGGGAGGCAGCAGUGGGGAAUAUUGCACAAUGGGGGAAACCCCGAUGCAGCAACGCCGCGUGAGUGAAGAAGGUUUUCGGAUUGUAAAGCUCUGUUAGCAGGGAAGAGGAAGGACGGUACCUGCAGAGGAAGCCACGGCUAACUACGUGCCAGCAGCCGCGGUAAUACGUAGGUGGCAAGCGUUGUUCGGAAUAACUGGGCGUAAAGGAUGCGUAGGCGGUUAAACAAGUUAUAUGUUAAAUAUAUAGGCUUAACCUGUAGAAAGCAUAUAAAACUGCUUAACUAGAGUGCAGGAGAGGUAAGUGGAAUUCCUAGUGUAGCGGUGAAAUGCGUAGAGAUUAGGAAGAACACCAGUGGCGAAGGCGACUUACUGGACUGUAACUGACGCUGAGGCAUGAGAGCAUGGGGAGCAAACAGGAUUAGAUACCCUGGUAGUCCAUGCUGUAAACGAUGGGUACUAGGUGUGGGUUGUGAAUAACAAUUCGUGCCGUCG